This 250-nucleotide long non-coding RNA is filed under the name Gallus gallus (chicken). Lineage: Eukaryota; Metazoa; Chordata; Aves; Galliformes; Phasianidae. The record is from RNAcentral.
GAGACCCUGAAGAUAGGGUGUCUCUGCUGCCUCGACUCUUGGAACUGAGAUGGGGGGAAGAUGAUGGCGAGUCAUCGAUAUAGGGCAUCAUAUCAUGAUGUCGCCUCUGUUCUUCAGCACGGUCUGCAUCAUACGCAUAGCUAGGUGGUGUGCCACUGAAUGAGGCAUCUGCAUCUCCAUGGAAGAGGCUGUCUUGGUGACAUCUCCCAGAAGGCAAAUCUCCAUCACUUGGCCAGAUCUGUCCCGUUUU